UGGGGAUGACGUCAAGUCAUCAUGCCCCUUAUGUCCUGGGCUGCACACGUGCCACAAUGGCCGGCACAAUGGGCUGCGAUACCGCGAGGUGGAGCGAAUCCCAUAAAACCGGCCCCAGUUCGGAUCGAAGGCUGCAACUCGCCUUCGUGAAGUCGGAGUUGCUAGUAAUCGCGGAUCAGCAUGCCGCGGUGAAUACGUUCCCGGGCCUU
Molecule: ribosomal RNA, 209 nt
Filed under: uncultured Coriobacteriaceae bacterium
Lineage: Bacteria; Bacillati; Actinomycetota; Coriobacteriia; Coriobacteriales; Coriobacteriaceae
Description: partial 16S ribosomal RNA
Rfam family: Bacterial small subunit ribosomal RNA
Source: RNAcentral